AAUCGCGAAUCAGAAUGUCGCGGUGAAUACGUUCCCGGGCCUUGUACACACCGCCCGUCCACACCAUGAGAGUCGAUAACACCCGAAGCCUGUGAGCUAACCGCAAGGAGGCAGCAGUCGAAGGUGGGGUUGAUGAUUGGGGUGAAGUCGUAACAAGGUACC
This 162-nucleotide ribosomal RNA is filed under the name uncultured bacterium. Its description in RNAcentral is "partial 16S ribosomal RNA". It matches the Rfam family "Bacterial small subunit ribosomal RNA", at positions 1340 to 1500 of the family's 1533-position model. The record is from RNAcentral.